GGAGUGGUAGUUCAGUUGGUUAGAAUACCGGCCUGUCACGCCGGGGGUCGCGGGUUCGAGUCCCGUUCACUCCGCCA
Molecule: transfer RNA, 77 nt
Filed under: Zoogloea sp.
Lineage: Bacteria; Pseudomonadati; Pseudomonadota; Betaproteobacteria; Rhodocyclales; Zoogloeaceae
Also listed under: 5 other names
Description: tRNA-Asp
Rfam family: tRNA
About the family: Transfer RNA (tRNA) molecules are approximately 80 nucleotides in length. Their secondary structure includes four short double-helical elements and three loops (D, anti-codon, and T loops).
Source: RNAcentral